CAGUCGCCGCGGUAAUACAGAGGGUGCAAGCGUUAAUCGGAAUUACUGGGCGUAAAGCGCGCGUAGGUGGUUCGCCAAGUUGGAUGUGAAAUCCCCGGGCUCAACCUGGGAACUGCAUCCAAAACUGGCGAGCUAGAGUAUGGUAGAGGGUGGUGGAAUUUCCUGUGUAGCGGUGAAAUGCGUAGAUAUAGGAAGGAACAUCAGUGGCGAAGGCGACCACCUGGACUGAUACUGACACUGAGGUGCGAAAGCGUGGGGAGCAAACAGGAUUAGAUCCCCUGUAGUCCCUGUCUCUUAUACA
RNAcentral lists this ribosomal RNA (301 nucleotides) under uncultured bacterium. RNAcentral describes it as "partial 16S ribosomal RNA". It matches the Rfam family "Bacterial small subunit ribosomal RNA", at positions 509 to 808 of the family's 1533-position model. The record is from RNAcentral.